This 373-nucleotide ribosomal RNA is filed under the name uncultured organism. Its description in RNAcentral is "bacterial SSU rRNA". It matches the Rfam family "Bacterial small subunit ribosomal RNA", at positions 526 to 896 of the family's 1533-position model. The record is from RNAcentral.
CGAGUGCCUCGAGCGUUAUCCGGAAUCAUUGGGCGUAAAGGGUGCGUAGGCGGCCUUGUUGGUCUCGCGUAAAAUCCUUCGGCUCAACCGAGGGCUCGCGUGGGAAACGGCAAGGUUAAGAGGAUGGUAGGGGUCUCUGGAACUCUAGGUGUAGCGGUGAAAUGCGUUGAUAUCUAGGGGAACACCAAAAGCGAAGGCAAGAGACUGGACCACUCCUGACGCUGAAGCACGAAAGCGUGGGUCGCGAAUGGGAUUAGAUACCCCAGUAGUCCACGCCCUAAACGAUGAUCUCUCGCUUUGAGGAGUAUCGACCCUCUUCGAGGCUAAGCUAACGCGAUAAGAGAUCCGCCUGGGUAGUACGACCGCAAGGUUG